Molecule: ribosomal RNA, 231 nt
Filed under: uncultured bacterium
Lineage: Bacteria
Description: partial 16S ribosomal RNA
Rfam family: Bacterial small subunit ribosomal RNA
Source: RNAcentral
UGAGCAAUCUGCCCUUCUCAUCGGAAUAAGCGUUGGAAACGACGUCUAAUGCCGAAUACGACCUCCUUUCGCAUGAUCGGAGGUGGAAAGCUCCGGCGGAGAAGGAUGAGCUCGCGGCCUAUCAGCUAGUUGGUGUGGGUAAUGGCCCACCAAGGUGACGACAGGUAGCCGGCCUGAGAGGGUGACCGGCCACACUGGGACUGAGACACGGCCCAGACCUCCGUAGGGAGG